AGUGAACGCUGGCGGUAGGCCUACACCUGCAAGGCCAACCGCAGCACAGUAAGGUCUUUCUUUUACGGGUGGGGGGUGUCGGUCGGGUGAGGGAUACAUUCGCAUCCUCCUAUUCGCGGGGGAUAUGCCAGGGUAAACUUCCCGAAUUCCCGAAACUGCCCACGGGUUAUAGUCAGGGAUCUUCUGACCGUGCGCCAGUGUAUGAUCCGGUGUCGGAGUAUCUAGUUGGCGGGGUAAAGGCCCACCCAGGCCACGAUCCGUACCUCGUCUGAGAGGAUGAUCGGCCACACUGUAACUGAGACGCGGUCCAGACUCCUGCGGGAGGCAGCAGUGGGGAAUAUUGGACAAUGAGAGCAAGGCUGAUCCAGCCAUACCGCGUGGGUGAAGAAGGCCUUCGGGUUGUAAAGCCCUUUUGUUGGGAAAGAAAAGCAGCAGGUUAGUACCCCGCUGUUCUGACGGUACCCAAAGAGUGAGCACAGGCUAGCUUCGUG
This 491-nucleotide ribosomal RNA is filed under the name uncultured bacterium. RNAcentral's name for it is "partial 16S ribosomal RNA". It matches the Rfam family "Bacterial small subunit ribosomal RNA", at positions 29 to 507 of the family's 1533-position model. The record is from RNAcentral.